This 206-nucleotide ribosomal RNA is filed under the name uncultured bacterium. RNAcentral's name for it is "partial 16S ribosomal RNA". It matches the Rfam family "Bacterial small subunit ribosomal RNA", at positions 568 to 774 of the family's 1533-position model. The record is from RNAcentral.
CAUGCAGGCGGUUUAUCAAGUAGGAUGUGAAAUCCCCGGGCUCAACCUGGGAACAGCAUACUAAACUGGUGGACUAGAGUAUUGCAGGGGGAGACGGAAUUCCAGGUGUAGCGGUGGAAUGCGUAGAUAUCUGGAAGAACACCAAAGGCGAAGGCAGUCUCCUGGGCAAAUACUGACGCUCAUAUGCGAAAGCGUGGUAGCAAACA